GAACUGAAGAGUUUGAUCAUGGCUCAGAUUGAACGCUGGCGGCAGGCCUAACACAUGCAAGUCGAGCGGAUGAAGGGRGCUUGCUCCUGGAUUCAGCGGCGGACGGGUGAGUAAUGCCUAGGAAUCUGCCUGGUAGUGGGGGAUAACGUCCGGAAACGGGCGCUAAUACCGCAUACGUCCUGAGGGAGAAAGUGGGGGAUCUUCGGACCUCACGCUAUCAGAUGAGCCUAGGUCGGAUUAGCUAGUUGGUGGGGUAAAGGCCUACCAAGGCGACGAUCCGUAACUGGUCUGAGAGGAUGAUCAGUCACACUGGAACUGAGACACGGUC
RNAcentral lists this ribosomal RNA (328 nucleotides) under Pseudomonas aeruginosa. Its description in RNAcentral is "bacterial SSU rRNA". It matches the Rfam family "Bacterial small subunit ribosomal RNA", at positions 1 to 331 of the family's 1533-position model. Lineage: Bacteria; Pseudomonadati; Pseudomonadota; Gammaproteobacteria; Pseudomonadales; Pseudomonadaceae. The record is from RNAcentral.